Molecule: long non-coding RNA, 391 nt
Organism: Dendroctonus ponderosae (mountain pine beetle)
Lineage: Eukaryota; Metazoa; Arthropoda; Insecta; Coleoptera; Curculionidae
Exons: 2
Source: RefSeq, a predicted model, not a curated record
AUUACCUAAGGAAAAAAUUGCACAAUUUUGAAGAGUGAAAUAAUUUCUUUGAACCAUUAAUUUUGAAGUCAGAUUGAUUAAAAGGGUGUAAUUGAGUGCGGGUAAAAUGCACGUAGAGACGACGCUUUAACUUCGAGACAAUCGCAGCCCCAAAUCACCUUUAAAUGGUGUUUGUUAUGCCACACUUUCCUACUUUGGCCACCCAGAAUAAAGGAAUGUUUUAAGGAACAGUUAAAUAAUAAGAGGAACAAAAACCAGGCAGAAACAUGACGGUAGUAAAAGAUCCUCGAGAUUAGUUUAAAUUAAAGAGUGAAUGUAAUGAGCAAAAUGCAGAUAAACCCUUAUCAGAGUAACUAAAAUCAAAUGUUGAUUAUAUCUAAUUAAUAUUGAA